RNAcentral lists this ribosomal RNA (2621 nucleotides) under Salmonella enterica subsp. enterica serovar Enteritidis. RNAcentral's name for it is "partial 23S ribosomal RNA". It matches the Rfam family "Bacterial large subunit ribosomal RNA". Lineage: Bacteria; Pseudomonadati; Pseudomonadota; Gammaproteobacteria; Enterobacterales; Enterobacteriaceae. The record is from RNAcentral.
AAUCCAUAGGUUAAUGAGGCGAACCGGGGGAACUGAAACAUCUAAGUACCCCGAGGAAAAGAAAUCAACCGAGAUUCCCCCAGUAGCGGCGAGCGAACGGGGAGGAGCCCAGAGCCUGAAUCAGCAUGUGUGUUAGUGGAAGCGUCUGGAAAGGCGCGCGAUACAGGGUGACAGCCCCGUACACAAAAGCGCAUGUGCUGUGAGCUCGAUGAGUAGGGCGGGACACGUGGUAUCCUGUCUGAAUAUGGGGGGACCAUCCUCCAAGGCUAAAUACUCCUGACUGACCGAUAGUGAACCAGUACCGUGAGGGAAAGGCGAAAAGAACCCCGGCGAGGGGAGUGAAAAAGAACCUGAAACCGUGUACGUACAAGCAGUGGGAGCACAGGUUUACCUGUGUGACUGCGUACCUUUUGUAUAAUGGGUCAGCGACUUAUAUUCUGUAGCAAGGUUAACCGAAUAGGGGAGCCGGAGGGAAACCGAGUCUUAACCGGGCGUUAAGUUGCAGGGUAUAGACCCGAAACCCGGUGAUCUAGCCAUGGGCAGGUUGAAGGUUGGGUAACACUAACUGGAGGACCGAACCGACUAAUGUUGAAAAAUUAGCGGAUGACCUGUGGCUGGGGGUGAAAGGCCAAUCAAACCGGGAGAUAGCUGGUUCUCCCCGAAAGCUAUUUAGGUAGCGCCUCGUGAAUUCAUCUCCGGGGGUAGAGCACUGUUUCGGCUAGGGGGCCAUCCCGGCUUACCAACCCGAUGCAAACUGCGAAUACCGGAGAAUGUUAUCACGGGAGACACACGGCGGGUGCUAACGUCCGUCGUGAAGAGGGAAACAACCCAGACCGCCAGCUAAGGUCCCAAAGUCAUGGUUAAGUGGGAAACGAUGUGGGAAGGCCCAGACAGCCAGGAUGUUGGCUUAGAAGCAGCCAUCAUUUAAAGAAAGCGUAAUAGCUCACUGGUCGAGUCGGCCUGCGCGGAAGAUGUAACGGGGCUAAACCAUGCACCGAAGCUGCGGCAGCGACACUGUGUGUUGUUGGGUAGGGGAGCGUUCUGUAAGCCUGUGAAGGUGUGUCGUGAGGCAUGCUGGAGGUAUCAGAAGUGCGAAUGCUGACAUAAGUAACGAUAAAGCGGGUGAAAAGCCCGCUCGCCGGAAGACCAAGGGUUCCUGUCCAACGUUAAUCGGGGCAGGGUGAGUCGACCCCUAAGGCGAGGCCGAAAGGCGUAGUCGAUGGGAAACGGGUUAAUAUUCCCGUACUUGGUGUUACUGCGAAGGGGGGACGGAGAAGGCUAUGUUGGCCGGGCGACGGUUGUCCCGGUUUAAGCGUGUAGGUGUGUGUUCCAGGUAAAUCCGGUUCACUUUAACACUGAGGCGUGACGACGAGGCACUACGGUGCUGAAGCAACAAAUGCCCUGCUUCCAGGAAAAGCCUCUAAGCAUCAGGUAACAUCAAAUCGUACCCCAAACCGACACAGGUGGUCAGGUAGAGAAUACCAAGGCGCUUGAGAGAACUCGGGUGAAGGAACUAGGCAAAAUGGUGCCGUAACUUCGGGAGAAGGCACGCUGACACGUAGGUGAAGUGAUUUACUCAUGGAGCUGAAGUCAGUCGAAGAUACCAGCUGGCUGCAACUGUUUAUUAAAAACACAGCACUGUGCAAACACGAAAGUGGACGUAUACGGUGUGACGCCUGCCCGGUGCCGGAAGGUUAAUUGAUGGGGUCAGCGCAAGCGAAGCUCCUGAUCGAAGCCCCGGUAAACGGCGGCCGUAACUAUAACGGUCCUAAGGUAGCGAAAUUCCUUGUCGGGUAAGUUCCGACCUGCACGAAUGGCGUAAUGAUGGCCAGGCUGUCUCCACCCGAGACUCAGUGAAAUUGAACUCGCUGUGAAGAUGCAGUGUACCCGCGGCAAGACGGAAAGACCCCGUGAACCUUUACUAUAGCUUGACACUGAACAUUGAGCCUUGAUGUGUAGGAUAGGUGGGAGGCUUUGAAGUGUGGACGCCAGUCUGCAUGGAGCCGACCUUGAAAUACCACCCUUUAAUGUUUGAUGUUCUAACGUGGACCCGUUACCCGGGUUGCGGACAGUGUCUGGUGGGUAGUUUGACUGGGGCGGUCUCCUCCUAAAGAGUAACGGAGGAGCACGAAGGUUGGCUAAUCCUGGUCGGACAUCAGGAGGUUAGUGCAAUGGCAUAAGCCAGCUUGACUGCGAGCGUGACGGCGCGAGCAGGUGCGAAAGCAGGUCAUAGUGAUCCGGUGGUUCUGAAUGGAAGGGCCAUCGCUCAACGGAUAAAAGGUACUCCGGGGAUAACAGGCUGAUACCGCCCAAGAGUUCAUAUCGACGGCGGUGUUUGGCACCUCGAUGUCGGCUCAUCACAUCCUGGGGCUGAAGUAGGUCCCAAGGGUAUGGCUGUUCGCCAUUUAAAGUGGUACGCGAGCUGGGUUUAGAACGUCGUGAGACAGUUCGGUCCCUAUCUGCCGUGGGCGCUGGAGAACUGAGGGGGGCUGCUCCUAGUACGAGAGGACCGGAGUGGACGCAUCACUGGUGUUCGGGUUGUCAUGCCAAUGGCACUGCCCGGUAGCUAAAUGCGGAAGAGAUAAGUGCUGAAAGCAUCUAAGCACGAAACUUGCCCCGAG